Molecule: ribosomal RNA, 477 nt
Filed under: uncultured bacterium
Lineage: Bacteria
Description: partial 16S ribosomal RNA
Rfam family: Bacterial small subunit ribosomal RNA
Source: RNAcentral
GAUGAACGCUGGCGGCGUGCCUAAUACAUGCAAGUCGAGCGAACAGACGCUGAGCUUGCUCCUCUGACGUUAGCCGCGGACGGGUGAGUAACACGUGGAUAACCUACCUAUAAGACUGGGAUAACUUCGGGAAACCGGCGCUAAUACCGGAUAAUAUAUUGAACCGCAUGGUUCAAUAGUGAAAGACGGUGUUGCUGUCACUUAUAGAUGGAUCCGCGCCGCAUUAGCUAGUUGGGAGGGUACCGGCUUACCACGGGAACGAUGGGUAGCCGACAUGAGAGGGGGGACGGGCACAUUGGGACUGAGAGACGGCGCAGACGCCUAUGGGAGGCAGUAGUGGGGAAUAUGACACAGUGGGCGGAAGCCUGAUACGGAAACGCCGCGUGCGGGAUGACGGCCUUCUGGUUGUAAACCGAUUUCUCCUGUGACAUAGCGUGAGUGACGGUACUGGGUCAAGAAGCACCGGCUAACUACGUG